Molecule: long non-coding RNA, 2523 nt
Organism: Struthio camelus australis
Lineage: Eukaryota; Metazoa; Chordata; Aves; Struthioniformes; Struthionidae
Source: Ensembl
UGCCGCCCUCCAGCUCCCUUCUCCACAGAGGGCUGCCCGGCCCGGGGCGGCGGUGCUGGGAAGAGGCCGGAGGCAGGUCUUCCCUGCAGCUGUUUGAAGCGGGAAGGGUUCGCUGUCGAGAAAGGGCGCUUGGGGAACCGUUUCAGCAGUUCUCCAAGCAGACGCCAGGGUUUGGGGACCUCGCUUCUGCAAGGCGGCGGGAGGAACGCCGGAUUACUUUCCUCGGUCCGUUACGGGCUGCGGAGACCACAAGGGCGGCACUCCGCUUACUCAGCUGACCUACUUUCUCAGCUGCGGCUAACAGGCAAAACGGACUUCUGGAAUGAUUCCGCUCCAGCCUUCAAGCUGAUUAUACUGGGAAGAAUUGAUAAAUGGCCAGAUGCCCACAUCAUAAAAGAACCUGCAUCUUCUGAAUUUGGACGUUUAUGUCAAUUUUAUAGUUCUGAUCUUCCACAUGUGAGGGAGGAAGUACCCUACAGAUCACUUUGCAAUAAACAUUUGAAAAAUAGGAUUUUUAAAGACAACGGUAUCAUGCUUUUACAUACCUUUUAAGGCUGUUAAAGAGGUCAGUUCUCCAGUUUUUCUGGAUGUUUAGAUAUUUUCCAUCUAUGUGGGAUGAAAUCAUCCUCACACCUCCUCUUUCAGCUAUGCUGCACUACUAUAUCCAAACUGCUUUGUAAAGUCUGUCAUAUCAUGCAGCAACUGACAGAAUUUCUUUACAUUGUCCCUUGCCUAUAAGCACUUUUAAUACAGUGUGUAUGAAUAUAUUAUUUCUAUCUCCUAAUCUGUAUUCCUCUGCACCACGCACAGGAUGUUCCAAGUAAACCACAUGAAAACAAGAUUAAGCAUGCAAUCUACACACAUAGCAGACAUGCUUAGUAGGAAAGCCUGCAGGACUGCUUUCAGAUUAAUAUGCAAAGAGAAAACAGGGUCUGUACCUUUCCUUUGUCUCUUAUAUAGACACAAAGUUUGAAAAGCCAGGAUUUCAGCUUCUGUUAAGCAUUCAAAAUUCGGGGCCUACCUAGUCUACAAGACCAACUCGAGUGAAACAUUUUCAUUAAAGCCAAAAAGCCUGAACUACUGAAAAGAAAGGACUUUUUAGCUUCUACAUGGAAAUUUAGCAUCUGUUUAAUUUCAAUAACCAAGGUUUAGAGAAAGCUUUUCAAAGAUUCCAGAUUCUAUUCCCUUUUCCCUAAGGCAUCCAAAUCAGUUUUUUAGUUAAAAAAACAAAACAAAAAAAAACCACUCGACAUCUCAAUUUUUCCUCAUUCAUAUUAAGCAGGAGAAACAACGUCAAAACUUUUUUUCUUCCUCACUACAGUAUUUUAAAGUUAUCUUUCAGAAGGAAGUGUUAAGUUUUUUCAUGGUUUGCACGUCUUCCAUGAUUUAAGAUGAAAGUACCCAGUUUGCAAGCAGAGCCAUCACAUACUUGACUAUUUCUGUUACGGUCCCACAACUGGUGGCACAAAAGCACCACUACCACACUACUUUACUUGCUACUACUCACAAUUCAACCAGGUUCGUUAAUUUCUUAAAGGAAAGGCAAAAGUUCCACAUGGCCAGUAUUUUAACACUCCCCUAUUCUAUCCUGCAGAAUGAGCAGCCACCUUAAAGUCCUUCAAGAAAGUUUCAUCAACUUUUGGGAGGCUUGAAAAUUACCAUUUUUUCCAAGAAUGAUGGCCUUUUUUGGAAAACAACAGUAAAUUCAACAUCUCUUAGACAAGUUUUAAAGAACUACCUUCAUGAAAACUGGGGGGGAGGGGCCAGACACAACACACCACAAGGAAACCAUUAAAACUUUUUCUCCCCAGUUACUGAGAUAUUUAACUCCAGUUUUUUCAAACUGCAGUAACUGAGUUCCACCCAAAAGCAGAGAUCUGCCAACACACUGCAGAAUCCGUCUCUUAAACAAAAUUACAAAGUGCAAUUAAAAGCGUAAAUUUUUCCCUUUACAGCCCAUCCUGCUGUGGGAAACUUGUGGUUAGGAGGACAUAAAAUUCACACUAGCAAAACACAUCUUCAGGAAAUACUAUUACUACAGCACAUGUAAUGCACUCAAUUUGGCAGAUGAUACAAGAAAUGUAUUUGAAAUCAACUAUAUGUAUGUUAAUACAUUUUCAAUGCAACAAGGAAGAGAAACUGAUUUCUGAAGACUUAACAUUUACCGAAACGUUUAAGACCUUAUAUACAAAUGUAACAAAUGAACAAAGACGGAAGGCCAGAAUUUAAAAAAAAAAAAAACAAAAAAACCAAAAACUCAUCUUCUCACCCCAGAAAUGGGGAACACUGCAACAGGAAGUGGGGGGAAUUUUUCUGGAAACUCGGAAACUACAACAUAACUACAACAGAAGCAACUUUUUCCAUAUAAAAAGGCUAUUACAUGAAAGGAGAGUAAGAGCUUUGGGCAAGUUUUCUUCUGGUUGAUGAUCAGACUCUGGCUUGAUUUUGUUUAUUUUUGUUACUGUUGUACUGCUUAGAGAAAGACAAAAUAAAUCAUUUAGAAAUUUCUAAAGAAUAAUGGUU